CCUACGGGAGGCAGCAGUGGGGAAUAUUGCACAAUGGGGGAAACCCUGAUGCAGCGACGCCGCGUGAGUGAAGAAGUAAUUCGUUAUGUAAAGCUCUAUCAGCAGGGAAGAAAAUGACGGUACCUGAGUAAGAAGCCCCGGCUAACUACGUGCCAGCAGCCGCGGUAAUACGGAGGGGGCAAGCGUUAUCCGGAUUUACUGGGUGUAAAGGGAGCGUAGACGGGAGUGCAAGUCAGGAGUGAAAGGCUGGGGCUCAACCCCCGGAUUGCCUUGGAAACUGUACGGCUGGAGUGCAGGAGAGGUAAGUGGAAUUCGUGGUGUAGGGGUGAAAUGCGUAGAUAUUAAGAAGAACACCCAGGGCGAAGGCGGCUUACUAGACUGUAACUGACAUUGAGGCUCGAAAGCGUGGGGAGCAAACAGGAUUAGAUACCCCAGUAGUC
Molecule: ribosomal RNA, 440 nt
Filed under: uncultured bacterium
Lineage: Bacteria
Description: partial 16S ribosomal RNA
Rfam family: Bacterial small subunit ribosomal RNA
Source: RNAcentral